This 595-nucleotide ribosomal RNA is filed under the name uncultured bacterium. Its description in RNAcentral is "bacterial SSU rRNA". It matches the Rfam family "Bacterial small subunit ribosomal RNA", at positions 338 to 956 of the family's 1533-position model. The record is from RNAcentral.
CCUACGGGAGGCAGCAGUGGGGAAUAUUGGACAAUGGGCGAAAGCCUGAUCCAGCAAUGCCGCGUGAGUGAUGAAGGCCUUAGGGUUGUAAAGCUCUUUUACCAGGGAUGAUAAUGACAGUACCUGGAGAAUAAGCUCCGGCUAACUCCGUGCCAGCAGCCGCGGUAAUACGGAGGGAGCUAGCGUUGUUCGGAAUUACUGGGCGUAAAGCGUACGUAGGCGGUUAUUCAAGUCAGAGGUGAAAGCCUGGAGCUCAACUCCAGAACUGCCUUUGAAACUAGAUAGCUAGAAUCUUGGAGAGGUGAGUGGAAUUCCGAGUGUAGAGGUGAAAUUCGUAGAUAUUCGGAAGAACACCAGUGGCGAAGGCGACUCACUGGACAAGGUAUUGACGCUGAGGUACGAAAGCGUGGGGAGCAAACAGGAUUAGAUACCCUGGUAGUCCACGCCGUAAACGAUGAUAACUAGCUGUUCGGGCUCUACGAGCUUGAGUGGCGCAGCUAACGCAUUAAGUUAUCCGCCUGGGGAGUACGGUCGCAAGNUUAAAACUCAAAGGAUUGACGGCUUGAGACGNGCGAGGACGACGACGAGGAGGAGG